Molecule: long non-coding RNA, 2170 nt
Organism: Nicotiana attenuata
Lineage: Eukaryota; Viridiplantae; Streptophyta; Magnoliopsida; Solanales; Solanaceae
Exons: 2
Source: RefSeq, a predicted model, not a curated record
UUUUGUUCUGCCAUUUAAUUUUUUAUGUGUAAAUCUGCGUGGCUUUAUUUCCUUCACAAAAUUCUGACACAAACUCUAGAAUCUCAGUAGCUUUCCGGCUUGUGAAACAUAGCGCACCUUUUCAAAAUAGAAAUCAGAGACAGAAUAACCUCUAUCCAUCGUUGCCAACAACUUCAAAUAGAACUCGAACCUGAUCGCUAACAUAGCACAUCCUCUUCGAUCAUCAAUGAACAUAAAAUGAAUUACAUAGUGAUAAUCUCACAACAAAAACCUCAGAACAGCCCAAACCUCAAAGCAUGCUCUGAGUCAGGUUUUCAAUUUCUCAAUCAAUGGACUGCAAUUCAGAAACCCACAUAUACUGUUGUACAUGGAGAAAUUAGAAGCGCAAUUGAAAUCAAAACUCUCUUAAUAUAUCCAUUCAUCUUCUCAGUAAUUUCAGGUAAAUUAACCUCCAUUUUUUUAUUUAAUCUCCUUCUACUUCUUUCCAAAAAAUUUGUUGAUUUCAUGCUGAAAAUUAUUGUUGCUGUUAUUGUUCAUUUUAACUUUUUCUUCUAUGGAGAAGAGAAUUAGUGAAUGUAUUAUAUCUUUGGGCAAAGUAGUUUCUAGGUCUUAUGCAAUUUAUGGAAUAGCAGACUGCUUUGCAAAUUUCAGGUUACUAUUAGGCAAGAGAAUAUCUGGUAUUAUGCAAGACUAAAUUUUAGGAAAGCAAAUGCUGCUAUUGUUGGUAUUAGACUAGCUUCUUUAGUUUCUUGGAGUUAGAACACUGAUUUGAAAUUGAAAAGAGAUGGAUGAAGUAGUUUGGAUGGUGUUGGUUCCAGUUCUCUCCAUCUUCGUAGUUGAGUGUUACAAUUUCAUAUGUGAUUUUUUUUCAUUUUUGCGCAUAUUUCUUCCAAAUCUCUCCACACUUCCAAAUUUUGUGGCUAAAAUUUAAAUUGUCUUCAAAAGGGGUAGAUAGAGAAGAAGAGAAUCGGUUAAGUUCUUAGAUCUUUUGGGCAAAAAACUAAUUUCUAGAUGACGCAAAACAAAUCAAAAUACUCUAAAAAAUAAGUUAAUUGGAUAUUAAUGAACACCUCAAUCACAAUAAACAAUUAAGAACUUUUGUUCUAUCAUGUUUUUUUGGUCUUUCUUUAGCUUAAUUUCUUGAUGUUCUUCAGUUAUACAAGUGGAAUAAAGGAUGAUUUUGGGGGGUUUCGAUCUUUCAAAUUGUACAGUAAAAUCCAUGCACAUUUUUAAUAGUGAGAAUGUUAAAAUGAACAAUGCAAUACAUGUCACUUACUGGAGUAAUUUUGGAUAUUUUCUAGCUUUUUCUGUAGUUGCCUAUUAUUGGUACUUUUCUAUUUUUCUUUGUUUUAUUUUGCUUAUAGGUUUUGCUUCAUUGUGGUAAUUGUUUGUUCAUGCGUUUUUGUAGCAUUUCAGUGUGUGGUAAAUAUCGCUCUUCUACUGGCUUUCUUUUAUUUUUUCCCUCUUGGCUUUUUUCAUUCAACUAAAACAUCUUCCAAAGAAUUUUAAGGAAAAUAGUGCAGGGGCAUAGAAUUUGGCAAAAUGGACAGUUGACAGUUACAAUGGUGACAAUUAUAAGGAAUAUAUUUGUAAGUUCAUGUGCAAAAGCAUAGAGAAAGUCACAGUUAUGGUGCUUUCCCUAUGGAUGAACAUGAUUCUCCCUUUGGGGUGAAUUGCUGCAAUUUACAGGAGAAGGUGUGCAAUGAUGGAAACGUCUGCCUGGUCUAUAUGAACACAAUCUCAGGUCGGUCAAUGGAAUUUCAAGAUUUUUAUUCUAAGAUUAAUAUCAAUACUUUUUGUAUUUCAAUUGAUCAUGCACAUAGAUGAAACAACUAACUUUUUGAGGUCAACUGAUAUAUUGUGAUCAAUUGAAAUACAAAAAGUAGAAGAUAGAAGGAGACACCAAGGCCUGCGGAGUAAACACACAAUUUUUCUAUAUGAGUAAACACAUUGGUAGAGCUUUUUCUAAAAUAGUAAAUGUAAACUCUCCCCCUACAAUAACAAGAACUUUUGGCUCACUUAUCGUUUAUUUUUUAUAUAUAUUAUAUUAUCCUGUUGAUAACUUUUGAUUUAGGAUGCAAGCUAUAGUUUAAUUGAGGAACUAAGCUCUUCCGCGAGAAUUUAGAAGUUUUGGUUGUAAGGCUACGGGAAUGAGAAACUUCAGAUUUUA